AAGUCGUAACAAGGUUUCCGUAGGUGAACCUGCGGAAGGAUCAUUAUUACGUAUCCAACGUAUAAACCAAUGUGAACUGUCUCCGCUCAGAGUAGGGUCAAUGGCACGUCGCGUUAAGGUCCAUCACUGUUAGUGAUGGGACUGCGGCGUGUCUCUGCUAGAGCUUUCGGGCUCUGUGUGGGACCUUGCUUGAAGCUGGUAUUCUCACUAACUUUAACUUUAUUAACCCAUUGCACUAUGCAUUGAACUAACUAUGUUUCGCGCUUUGUGGGUCCUUCGGGGCUAGCGGGCUCGAAAUCUAUUUACGUAACUUGAACAACUCUUAGCAACGGAUAUCUUGGCUCUC
This 346-nucleotide unclassified non-coding RNA is filed under the name fungal sp. RNAcentral describes it as "partial internal transcribed spacer region". The stretch from base 1 to 46 matches the Rfam family "Eukaryotic small subunit ribosomal RNA", at positions 1786 to 1831 of the family's 1831-position model. Lineage: Eukaryota; Fungi. The record is from RNAcentral.